UACGGAGGGGGCUAGCGUUGUUCGGAAUUACUGGGCGUAAAGCGCGCGUAGGCGGCUUUGUAAGUUAGAGGUGAAAGCCCGGAGCUCAACUCCGGAAUUGCCUUUAAGACUGCAUCGCUAGAAUCAUGGAGAGGUUAGUGGAAUUCCGAGUGUAGAGGUGAAAUUCGUAGAUAUUCGGAAGAACACCAGUGGCGAAGGCGACUAACUGGCCCGAUACUGACGCUGAGGUGCGAAAGCGUGGGGAGCAAACAGG
Molecule: ribosomal RNA, 253 nt
Filed under: uncultured bacterium
Lineage: Bacteria
Description: partial 16S ribosomal RNA
Rfam family: Bacterial small subunit ribosomal RNA
Source: RNAcentral